GUUGGUGAACCAGCGGAGGGAUCAUUACCGAGUUUACAACUCCCAACCCGUGUGAACAUACCCAAGUUGCUUCGGCGGCUGCCCCGGCGCACCCGUGCCCGGAACCAGGCGACCGCCUAUAACCACUGUUUCAGUCCACUGUAUAUCUUCUGAGUCAAAAAACAAAUAAAUCAAAACUUUCAACAACGGAUCUCUUGGUUCUG
RNAcentral lists this unclassified non-coding RNA (203 nucleotides) under rhizosphere metagenome. Its description in RNAcentral is "partial ribosomal RNA internal transcribed spacer region". The record is from RNAcentral.